GGGCCCGCACAAGCGGUGGAGCAUGUGGUUUAAUUCGAUGCAACGCGAAGAACCUUACCUACUCUUGACAUCUACAGGAUCCUGCGGAGACGCGGGAGUGCCUUCGGGAACUGUAAGACAGGUGCUGCAUGGCUGUCGUCAGCUCGUGUUGUGAAAUGUUGGGUUAAGUCCCGCAACGAGCGCAACCCUUAUCCUUGUUUGCCAGCGAGUAAUGUCGGGAACUCCAGGGAGACUGCCGGUGAUAAACCGGAGGAAGGUGGGGACGACGUCAAGUCAUCAUGGCCCUUACGAGUAGGGCUACACACGUGCUACAAUGGCGCAUACAGAGGGCAGCAAGCUAGCGAUAGUGAGCGAAUCCGACAAACCUAGUCGUAGUCCGGAUUGGAGUCUGCAACUCGACUCCAUGAAGUCGGAAUUGCUAGUAAUCG
Molecule: ribosomal RNA, 428 nt
Filed under: uncultured bacterium
Lineage: Bacteria
Description: bacterial SSU rRNA
Rfam family: Bacterial small subunit ribosomal RNA
Source: RNAcentral